This is a long non-coding RNA of Melospiza melodia melodia, 1433 nucleotides long. RefSeq lists it as uncharacterized. The record is from RefSeq and is a predicted model, not a curated record. Lineage: Eukaryota; Metazoa; Chordata; Aves; Passeriformes; Passerellidae. The transcript is spliced from 3 exons.
UUCUUCCCUCGACAAAUUUGACACGGGGCCGAAAAUCAAAUUUGCUUCUUUUUCCCCUUAAACAAAACCAUCUACGGUCUGCAGUGGUAAACCACUGCUCAUUUGAAUAUCCAAACACUGGCUGUUUGCAUCCAGGGGCUGGUGCCAAAAGCCUGUCACCCACAGCCAGCCCAAGCACAUCUGAGGCCGCUGAACUUAUUCAUCUCUGCCCUGAUACUUCCAGACUGUUCAAGGAGAAUUUGAAGAGGCUCCUACUGACCUACACUGAGCCAAAGACUUAAGAGGGACAUGACUGCUCUCAAAAUGUAAAUGGAAUAUAUUACCAGAAAAACCCACCCGAAUCCUCAGUCAAUAAUCCAUUUUUAGGAAAGAAUUUGUGCGAAAAUGAGAGAAGGAGAAACUGUUUCCUCUGGUACACAGCUCUGGACUCGUGAGCAAAACCCGAGAUGAAAUCCAGGAACAUCAUUCCUGAACAUUUCACAGAUCACAGGCAAAUCGCUCAGCAGGUCUGGCUACUUCUCCCAAAAAGGGAACAGCCUAUGUUUGGAAAACCAGUCAACAGAAAAACCGCUAAAUCUGGAACAUUUACCUGUGAACAGUUUGGUGGCAGAGUAUUUUUAGCUCUCAGGACAGAGUGUUAAUGGCACAUCUCUCCUGUUCCAAGGGCACAGCUAUGACCAGAGAGGCUAUUCCCAGUAUCCAACAGGUGUGGGUCAGCAUCUGCUGCCACCAGGGCUCCACAUGCAGUGCCUCUUCUGUUCAGUCCCCACUGCCCUCUCAACAUCAGGGGCUGCUGAACAAAUCAAACCAACUCACCAUUUCUUUUUAAAGUUCUAACACUCAGCACUUUGUGGAAUAAAAGUGGCUGCACAGCAGCAUAAAUGUGUUCCUCUGGUGGCAGUGGUGACACACCAAAGGGGUUUCUGGUAGGCUAAAACACAUGCAUCUUAAAAACAAAUAAAAGUUUGUGCAAUGCAGUAGGAGAGUAAAUACAUGAAACAAUCAAAUAAUAUAUUAAGAGAAUAGCUGAAAAGUUAAAAGACAUGACAAAGUAAGAACAUCCUGAAAUUAUCACUGUUCAACGAGAAAAAACCUCACAGAGAAGAGAAGAUGAUGAGAAAAAUGUUAACAGUGAUGAAAAACAAUAGCUCAAUGUAAUCCUCAACCUUAAUCUGUCCUUAGGCAUAGGGAGAUGUACACAAUCCCCAAGUACAACAUUUAUACAUUGGUGCAUACCUUUCAAUAAUCACAUACAUUUCACUGCAAUCAGAAGUAACACUUCCAGACACAGCUCCCCCAGCCAUAAAAUCUGUUAUGAACUCAACCCUCACCUAAAAACACACAUCAAAGCCUUUUUCCAUGCAAAACUGGCCUUUUUAAUGAGGAAUGGACAGUAAAAAAUGUGUCUGGGAUUAACAAUACAUGAAAAAGAA